GCCCGCUCAGAAACUCAAAGGAAGUUGACGGGGGCCCGCACAAGCGGUGGAGCAUGUGGUUUAAUCGAUGAUACGCGAGGAACCUUACCUGGGCUCAAAUGUAUGUUGACGUAUUCUGAAAGGGAUACUUCUUCGGACAAUAUACAAGGUGCUGCAUGGUUGUCGUCAGCUCGUGCCGUGAGGUGUCGGGUUAAGUCCCAUAACGAGCGCAACCCCUAUCAUUAGUUGCCAUCAGGUCAAGCUGGGGACUCUAAUGAAACUGCCUACGCAAGUAGUGAGGAAGGUGGGGAUGACGUCAAAUCAGCACGGCCCUUACGUCCAGGGCUACACACGUGCUACAAUGGCCGGUACAAAGGGCAGCUACCUGGUGACAGGAUGCUAAUCUCAAAAGCCGGUCUCAGUUCGGAUCGGAGUCUGCAACCCGACUCCGUGAAGUUGGAUUCGCCAGUAAUCGCGCAUCAGCCAUGGCGCGGUGAAUACGUUCCCGGGCCUU
This 493-nucleotide ribosomal RNA is filed under the name uncultured Sphingobacteriales bacterium. Its description in RNAcentral is "bacterial SSU rRNA". It matches the Rfam family "Bacterial small subunit ribosomal RNA", at positions 887 to 1382 of the family's 1533-position model. The record is from RNAcentral. Lineage: Bacteria; Pseudomonadati; Bacteroidota; Sphingobacteriia; Sphingobacteriales.